CGCGGCCUAUCAGCUUGUUGGUGGGGUAGUGGCCUACCAAGGCGACGACGGGUAGCCGGCCUGAGAGGGCGACCGGCCACACUGGGACUGAGAUACGGCCCAGACUCCUACAGGAGGCAGCAGUGGGGAAUAUUGCACAAUGGGCGCAAGCCUGAUGCAGCGACGCCGCGUGAGGGAUGACGGCCUUCGGGUUGUAAACCUCUUUCAGCAGGGAAGAAGCGAAAGUGACGGUACCUGCAGAAGAAGCGCCGGCUAACUACGUGCCAGCAGCCGCGGUAAUACGUAGGGCGCAAGCGUUGUCCGGAAUUAUUGGGCGUAAAGAGCUCGUAGGCGGUUUGUCGCGUCUGCUGUGAAAACCUGAGGCUCAACCUUGGGCUUGCAGUGGGUACGGGCAGACUAGAGUGCGGUAGGGGUGACUGGAAUUCCUGGUGUAGCGGUGGAAUGCGCAGAUAUCAGGAGGAACACCGAUGGCGAAGGCAGGUCACUGGGCCGCAACUGACGCUGAGGAGCGAAAGCAUGGGGAGCGAACAGGAUUAGAUACCCUGGUAGUCCAUGUCGUAAACGUUGGGCACUAGGUGUGGGGCUCAUUCCACGAGUUCCGUGCCGCAGCAAACGCAUUAAGUGCCCCGCCUGGGGAGUACGG
RNAcentral lists this ribosomal RNA (643 nucleotides) under uncultured bacterium. Its description in RNAcentral is "bacterial SSU rRNA". It matches the Rfam family "Bacterial small subunit ribosomal RNA", at positions 232 to 885 of the family's 1533-position model. The record is from RNAcentral.